This 379-nucleotide ribosomal RNA is filed under the name uncultured bacterium. Its description in RNAcentral is "bacterial SSU rRNA". It matches the Rfam family "Bacterial small subunit ribosomal RNA", at positions 521 to 896 of the family's 1533-position model. The record is from RNAcentral.
UAAUACGUAGGGGGCAAGCGUUGUUCGGAAUUACUGGGCGUAAAGGGCGCGUAGGCGGCACGGCACGUCGGGAGUGAAAGCCCGGGGCUCAACCCCGGAAUGUCUCUCGAGACUGCCGAGCUAGAGUGCGGAAGAGGCACCUGGAAUUCCCAGUGUAGCGGUGAAAUGCGUAGAUAUUGGGAAGAACACCAGAGGCGAAGGCGGGGUGCUGGGCCGACACUGACGCUGAGGCGCGAAAGCCAGGGGAGCGAACGGGAUUAGAUACCCCGGUAGUCCUGGCCCUAAACGAUGGAUACUUGGUGUGUGGGGUUCUCUAAGUCCCCGCGUGCCGGAGCUAACGCGUUAAGUAUCCCGCCUGGGGAGUACGGUCGCAAGGCUG